ACGGGUGAGUAAUGCUUGGGAAUCUGGCUUAUGGAGGGGGAUAACUACGGGAAACUGUAGCUAAUACCGCGUAGUAUCGGAAGAUGAAAGUGCGGGACCGCAAGGCCGCAUGCCAUGGGAUGAGCCCAAGUGGGAUUAGGUAGUUGGUGGGGUAAAGGCCUACCAAGCCUGCGAUCUCUAGCUGGUCUGAGAGGAUGGCCAGCCACACUGGAACUGAGACACGGUCCAGACUCCUACGGGAGGCAGCAGUGGGGAAUAUUGCGCAAUGGGGGGAACCCUGACGCAGCCAUGCCGCGUGAAUGAAGAAGGCCUUCGGGUUGUAAAGUUCUUUCGGUAUUGAGGAAGGUUGAUGUGUUAAUAGUACAUCAAAUUGACGUUAAAUACAGAAGAAGCACCGGCUAACUCCGUGCCAGCAGCCGCGGUAAUACGGAGGGUGCGAGCGUUAAUCGGAAUAACUGGGCGUAAAGGGCACGCAGGCGGUUAUUUAAGUGAGGUGUGAAAGCCCCGGGCUUAACCUGGGAAUUGCAUUUCAGACUGGGUAACUAGAGUACUUUAGGGAGGGGUAGAAUUCCACGUGUAGCGGUGAAAUGCGUAGAGAUGUGGAGGAAUACCGAAAGCGAACGCAGCCCCUUGGGAAUGUACUGACGCUCAUGUGCGAAAGCGUGGGGAGCAAACAGGAUUAGAUACCCUGGUAGUCCACGCUGUAAA
Molecule: ribosomal RNA, 708 nt
Filed under: uncultured bacterium
Lineage: Bacteria
Description: bacterial SSU rRNA
Rfam family: Bacterial small subunit ribosomal RNA
Source: RNAcentral